This 253-nucleotide ribosomal RNA is filed under the name uncultured Eubacteriales bacterium. RNAcentral describes it as "uncultured Clostridiales bacterium partial 16S ribosomal RNA". It matches the Rfam family "Bacterial small subunit ribosomal RNA", at positions 524 to 776 of the family's 1533-position model. The record is from RNAcentral. Lineage: Bacteria; Bacillati; Bacillota; Clostridia; Eubacteriales.
UACGUAGGGGGCAAGCGUUAUCCGGAUUUACUGGGUGUAAAGGGAGCGCAGGCGGCGCGGCAAGUCUGAUGUGAAAGCCCGAGGCCCAACCACGGGACUGCUCUGGAAACUGCGGGGCUGGAGUGCAGGAGGGGUAAGCGGAAUUCCUAGUGUAGCGGUGAAAUGCGUAGAUAUUAGGAGGAACACCGGUGGCGAAGGCGGCUUACUGGACUGUAACUGACGUUGAGGCUCGAAGGCGUGGGGAGCAAACAGG